ACUCCUACGGGAGGCAGCAGUGGGGAAUUUUGGACAAUGGGGGAAACCCUGAUCCAGCCAUGCCGCGUGUAUGAAGAAGGCCUUCGGGUUGUAAAGUACUUUCAGCGGGGAGGAAGGGAGUAAGGUUAAUAACCUUAUUCAUUGACGUUACCCGCAGAAGAAGCACCGGCUAACUCCGUGCCAGCAGCCGCGGUAA
RNAcentral lists this ribosomal RNA (196 nucleotides) under uncultured denitrifying bacterium. RNAcentral's name for it is "partial 16S ribosomal RNA". It matches the Rfam family "Bacterial small subunit ribosomal RNA", at positions 335 to 523 of the family's 1533-position model. The record is from RNAcentral.